This 301-nucleotide ribosomal RNA is filed under the name uncultured Acidobacteriota bacterium. RNAcentral describes it as "bacterial SSU rRNA". It matches the Rfam family "Bacterial small subunit ribosomal RNA", at positions 1095 to 1397 of the family's 1533-position model. The record is from RNAcentral. Lineage: Bacteria; Pseudomonadati; Acidobacteriota.
AGCGCAACCCUUAUCUUCAGUUGCUACCAUUUAGUUGAGCACUCUGACGAAACCGCCUCGGAUAACGGGGAGGAAGGUGGGGAUGACGUCAAGUCCUCAUGGCCUUUAUGUCCAGGGCUACACACGUGCUACAAUGGCCGGUACAAACCGCUGCAACCCCGCGAGGGUGAGCUAAUCGGAAAAAGCCGGCCUCAGUUCGGAUUGGAGUCUGCAACUCGACUCCAUGAAGCUGGAAUCGCUAGUAAUCGUGGAUCAGCAUGCCACGGUGAAUACGUUCCCGGGCCUUGCACACACCGCCCGU